Molecule: long non-coding RNA, 4152 nt
Filed under: Malus domestica (apple)
Lineage: Eukaryota; Viridiplantae; Streptophyta; Magnoliopsida; Rosales; Rosaceae
Description: long non-coding RNA (MDOM_LNC008989)
Source: RNAcentral
AAAACAGAUAACAAAAUAAAAAUUCAAACAGAAGAGAGAAAGCAAGAUAUUGGUAUUCACAGAAGCUGAAGAAAAUAAUUAAUAAUUUGUUUUGAGAUCAUAUCAUACCACGUCAGUAUCCUCCCAAACUCGUAUGAGUUUGCUAUAGCUCAGGUCAACAGCAACUAGGUUUGGCUGAUCGAAAUCUUCAGGUAUGACCUCCAGAGGAAAUCCAUGCCAACACAACCAUCUUAACUCUUUGGAAAGAUUUUGGUAACUUCCAGUGAGCUUUAUGUUAUUGAGUUUGAGCAAUCUCAGACUCUGCAUCUUUCUAAAUGCUUCUGUACUGAAGCUACACUCAUCAGACUCUUGCAUAUCUAAAGCGAGUCCUUCAACGUCUUCCGUUCCCUAUUCAAGGAAAAGAAAAAGGAACAAAGUAAGACAAAAUUUAUUUUGGCGUGAAAAGAGAAUUUAUUCACAUGAAGAAAGCCAUGAAUUGGAUGCAUGAACUAGAAUUCAGUUGUGAUUUACAUUUUACCAUAUUAAUUAGGUAUCUUAGUCGGCAUCGGUUACACGGUGUUACUUUACGUAUUACUAAACCCUUGGCACACGCGUGUGCCUUUAAAUUGUUUUGGACUUCUAUUUUUGAAUUUAAAAAAGGAAAAAUAUGGGUGGAGGGUUGGAGGGGUGAGGCUAACUGCUUCAGCAUUUACUGGAGAGAUUUUCCAGUGUGACGGACACACGGGAUGGUACAUCAUGUGUUACUAUACAAAUAGUGAGAUAUGUGUGCUUAAAAGUUAAUAACUUAAAAAAUAUAAUUUUCCACCACUUGUAUAAAAUUAUGUGUGUACCACUCGUGUUCCGGUUACAAUAAAAAAUUUCUCCAUCUACUGCGUGGGUUUGGGGUUUUUAAUUUUAAAAAUUAAUUAUUGAAAUAAUAUAGGUGGCAUAUACUUAUCCCUUAAAGAAGUUCAUAUUUAACAUAAGAUUUGAUUGCCGAAGUACUUACAGAUUUUUCCCCCAAAACGUCCUUUACAUCCGCAUGGUGCCACAAUCUACUACGUUUUCCAGGAUGGUCAGGGGAUUGUGCAUAUACGAUUUCUCUGGCCAUGUCUCGAAUCAAGUUAUGCAUCAUCAGAUCGCCCUUUGUAUCAACAGUUACAAGGCAUUUAUCUUGGAGUUCUCGAAUUCCUCCCACUGGAUAUAAGCCACGGUCAUCCAAUAUUGUCUCGACAUAGUUCUCGUUCAUUCCAAUAAAGAAACAGCCUAUAUCCAGGAAUACAUCCUUCAGGCGAUCAUUUAGCCCAUCAUAGCUUAUUUUAAGUCUUCUAUGAAUCUCCCUAGGACGAUGUCUUUUCCAUUUAUCCAGUUCAGUUUCCCAUUCAUUUUUACUUCUUGUACACAGAUAAGAACCUAAGACUUGUAGUGCUAGUGCUACUCCUCCACAGUCGCCAAGAGCUUUUCUUGAGAGCUCAACAUACUCUUCAUUAGGAUAACUCUUACCAAAGGCAUACCAACUAAGCAGCUCAAGAGCUUCUUCGUCAUUCAGUCCUUGCACAGGACAUAUCGCAUCCACAUUAAACAUCCUUAGCAAAUGUUGAUCUCUUGUUGUUAUGAUAAUUCUACUUCCUCGACCAAAUGAGUUACCACUUAUACCCAAUGCAUUUAACUGUACAUGGCUGUCUACAUCAUCUACUAUGACAAGCACUCUUUUGUUGCCAAGUCUUCUUUUAAUCUCCUUGGUCCCUUCAUCGUCGCUACUAACCUUCAUGUUUCCCGAUCCCAAGAUAUCAGAAAGUAGUUUGUUCUGUGAAUGAACCAGUUUCUUCUCUUUUCUCACAUUUGGAAGAAAGCUUGCACCAUCAAAACUACCAUGAUGUUUGUUGAAAACGGCUUUUGCAACCGUUGUUUUACCCAGUCCGCCCAUGCCCCAGAUUCCAAUGACACGGACAUCAUUUGAUCCUACAACAUCUAAAUAAUUACUGAUUUCUUGCACACGAGAAUCUAUUCCAACUGGGUGUCUGGCUACGUCCAAAUAAUUGCUCUUCAGUUCUCUACUGAUUCCUUCAUACCUGAUAGGUAAAAUUCAAUUCAAAAUUAAGCAAAAGUAAGAUUUACUAAUAAACGGCACAAUUAAAUUGAACUAAUAUCUUGCCCAUUAUGACUAGAGAGCUUGGGAGUGGAAGAUUUGAAAGCCCAGUGAUGAAUCAAAAUCUUCGAAAAUCAUUAAAGCAUUAAACCACACAUGACACAGAUUUCUCAUGGAAGAGUCUGGAAGCUCUACAUUGCAAUGUGUAAAAUCAAUUACUCCAAGGCGUAGUUAUGAUAAUUCAUUGUUUCUUGACAUUUGAUAAAUAUGAGAGUUCAAUAGACCAAUACAUUAUGUAGCCAAUUAAUAACUUUUGUUAGAAGGAAUGGCAAAUUACAAAAAAUACAAAAUAUAGGAAAGGAAAAAAGAAAUAAGAAAGUACCCAUGAGCACCCAAUAACCAAUCCGGAUGUUGGCCAAAAUCAUAUAGAAGCAAGUCUGAAUCAUGCAUAUUUUCCUUCAUAAAGUUGUCCCAUACUAGAUUAACCCCUAUUUCCUUCACACUCACAGAAGCAUCUGCAGGUUCAACAGGCUUUACAAAUAUAUCAACCUUGUCCCCCCCUUGCAAACUGAGCACAUAAUUCGAUAUAUGUCCCUGCCAAAGAUAAUGGUCAUCAAGCGUACAGGAAGUUGGUACUGAGGCAUAUGUUAUCCGGGCGAGCACAGCAGUACACUUGGUUUUAUUGCUAAUGAUAAUGCCGAGAGGACCUUCACGUUGUUCCUUUGAAGAGUAUAUGCAGCACAAAGUCAACCCGCUAAAACUGCGACCAACAAUUGGAGGUACGUGAAAGCUGACCAGAUCACCCUUGACAAAAUCAAACCAGUCAGGAAGAUAAUUUCCAUUGAAAAAAAUGCCACCAUAUCCGCAAGAAGUCCAUCCCUGUACCAUGUAGAGCCAGAUUUGUAACAACAAUACAUUGUUAUGCAUGCAUGUGUCAUAUAUAUGUGCUUCUGUGUGUGUAGUAGAAAGAGAGAAAACAGGCUAGAAAGAAAGAGAGACCUGUAGGAUGUUGUUCCUAAAAUCAGCAGUGAGAUUGAUGCACCCUUCCAUAUGAAUUCUUGUCAGAGUUUAAUGACUUAUCCAAGCCCGGAAUGUCUGUGAGUUUGCAUGAAUGACUUAGAUACAGCUCUCUCAUACUCAACAAUUCUGAAAAAUCUGGCAUUGUUUCUAGUGCAGUGCACAAACCCGCUCGCAACACUUUCAAAUUUGUUGGUAAAUUUGGGAUUGCAUGUAGGUUUGUGCAAUCAUCUAAACACAAUGUUUCAAGCUUAGAAAGACCACUGAGGCUUGGUAAGCUACAAAAACUAUUUUUUCGAAGAUCUAAGUCUUCUAAAGAAAUUAGACUCCCAAGAUCUUUCGGGAUUUUGUCAUCAGUCAAAGUGCAGCAUCCGAGAUCUAAUUUCCGUAAAUAGUUUAUGCCAUGUAAAGAAGGGGGCAAAAGACUAGUUGAUGGUGACUCUUUCAAAACAUAUUGAGAUGAAAAACUCAGCCUUAGUAUUUGUCUUAUGGGUGUGCCAUCUGCUGUCUUCUGGUAACUCUUUCCCAAGCCUUCAGCCAAGUUUUCAAAUCUUGAACAGCCGUUAAGAAGAAGAGUUUCAAUAGACUUGGAAUUAAAGAAAUUCAAUGGGAGAUCCUUGAGAUUUUUGCAGCCGUCAAGAUUAACCAAAGUAAGUCUUUCAAGAUUCCCAAUGGAUGAGUGAACCUCGGACAAACUCUCACAAUCAUUCAAUAUCACUUCCUCGAGAUUUGGGAGUCUUGAGAAGUCUGGUGUUUGUGCCAGGUUAGGGGAAUGACUGAGAUUAAGAAGCUUCAACUUCUCGAGCAACUGUUAAGACAAAAGGAAAAACUAAAAUAAAUACAAAUGGAAGAGAGAAAGCAUGAAGUUGGUGUUUAUAAAACCUGGAAGAAAGAAUUAACAAUUUGGUUGAGGCCAUAUCAUACCAAAUCGGAAUCCUCCCAAACUCGUAUGAGUUUGCUAUAGCUCAGGUCAAUAGCAACUAGGUUUGGUUGAUCAAAAUCUUUUGGUAUGACCUCCAGAGGAAAUCCAUGCCAACACAACCAUCUUAACUCUUUGGAAAGAUUGU